CUGAAAUGCUUUACUGGGGCUAGAGAAAGGUGAAAUGGAAUUGUGUUUUACAGAACCAACUCCAGUAGCAACUGUAAUGCUAGUUCAUGAUGUUCCAGGGUAUAUUUAGCCUUUUGAGUGUUACUGCUAAUGAUAAGCCCCAAAUGCUACUUAAAACUCACACAUACUUUUGAAAACUGAUAAUGAACUGUUUUUAGUGAUGAGUGUUGGUCUUCCUGUAGGAUAGAGCUAGAAAACAGUUCAGGUACUUUAAGGUUAAACAAGUCAAUCAGUUAAAGGACUGUUAUCCUACAGUCACCUAGUAAUGAUAGUAGAUGAAAUGAUCCAGAUAACAUAUGUCCUAAGGCAAAACACUAUGAUCCCACUUAAAAAAUAAAAAAAUAAAUUAAAAAAAAGAAAAAAAGAAAAAAAAUCCAUGAUCUUAGAAAGUGUGAUUACAUUAUUAAUGUGUAAAAUUGUUACGUGCCUUUGCACUUCAAUUUUUCUCCGUCUUUACAAAAAUUCAUUAUUCCUCAUCAGAUACAGGCUUAUAGGUCUUCUCAUAAUUUAUGUCUCCUGCCGUUUGUUUCAAGUACCCAACAAUGAGAAUAAUUAUGCUUGCCUUUUUGUAUUCUUUGUUUUCAGGAAACAAUGCAUCAGGGAGGCUGUUUCAGAGACGAAAACUCUCACAGGCAGACAGCCAAGAGGCAGAAGUCUGAAAACAGCUGAAAAAACUUCAGAUCAAGUAGACCUUCUGGAUUCUUACAGGCGUGUCAUUGCUUUUUCCUUCAUAGUCUCUCUCUGCUGGAUGAGUUUAUUGACUGCAUUUUAAUGCCUUCUGAAGAACCACACAUAAAAAAAUACUAAAAAAACCCAACACCUUCACAGUACUCUGGUCUCCAUGGCAAAGGUUUGGCUGCUAUUGCUUUUGAAUAUGAAUUUCGGGAUAUAGUACUGAUAAUCCUAUUAGUCUGUCUAGGAAACAAAAAAAUAUGAAAUGAAAGUUGACUCAGUGUUGAAGGUAAUCUCCUUUAUUGGACUUGUAUGAGAAUACAUGUUUCAAAGAGAAAAAAAACAUUGAAAAAUGGCUGUCUCAUAUUUCCAGGGUCUCAGAAAGGCUGAAGUUCCAUGUUUUGACUGUACAAAGAGACUGAGUAUGUUUUAGGUUACCUUAUGUUCACAGUACCCUAUCCAUCUCCUAUACCCCUUAUGGGUACAACAAAUGAGAGCCGUAUCAUGCGGUUUAGGUUCACUCUAUUAACUAUAAGCUAACCCUGCAUUAUAUAGUUCAUGAUUACCACUUGAAUUUGUAAGAAAGUUGGCAGGAAUGCCUUCUGCUAGGUGACCUUUGCAAAUGUGGCUGCGGCUGCUACAUGUAGUACCUAGGAUGUUGGUGUUUACUGUACUGUCUCUCUCCAGGGAACCAGAAAGGAGGACACAGCAACUCUUUGAGGCUUGGCAGAAGAAAAUCAGAGAUGUCACUUCCUACUCCAUUCCUGCCAAAUACAGUUAGAACUUUUGCUGCGGAGAACAUCAUUUAAGGAUUGCAAUUAAACCUUGACAUGUGAAAUACUUAAUUUUCAGCAGCUGAUGCCAUAAACAAACUGCAGAUACUGGGAAUGGAGUAUAAUUUGUUUUUCUUGCAAUGAAUACAAGGUAUAAAGUGUUUAUUGACUUAAAAAGAAAAACUGAACAAACAGAAUAAAGAAGAAAGCAUGCACGGAUGCUUUGAAGGA
This 1715-nucleotide long non-coding RNA is filed under the name Anas platyrhynchos platyrhynchos (common mallard). Its description in RNAcentral is "lncRNA (ENSAPLG00000029711.1)". Lineage: Eukaryota; Metazoa; Chordata; Aves; Anseriformes; Anatidae. The record is from RNAcentral.